UCAAAAGAAAAUUCCACGGGGAUCUUGUUUGGGGAGGAAGAGGGCAAGAGGGAAAAGGUUCUAGGGACACUGAAAUAAAGAAGAAAUUCCACUCACCGUCUCAGUCCCUGAAAUGAUGAGGGCCAAGACAUUCUGGAUUUUUUUAAGCCUGAUGUUUGGGGGCUUUCAAUGUGGCCCCAUCACUGGUCCCGUCGCUGCCCUCGUUGCCACUGCCAGCCUGAGCCGGCACACUGCUGCCCUCUGCCUCCAUUCUCGCUCUCGGUCUCUGGAUUGCUUCUGCUAAGCUUGGUGGAUCUGGCUGUCGGGUGCGCCUCCGAGAAUCUGCUGCUCCUGCUUCACCGGCUGCUUCUUGAUGAAAGAGCCUGAAAAAGCUGAGCUCCCCACUGCAAGCCACAAGAGACCGUAGCAAUCAGUCCCUGAAAAGAUGGAACUCUAAGAGAGAACUCCAGUACCAGGAGGGAGUAUAAAAGACGCUUCCGAUCCAAAGAAGUGGUGACUGAGUGGAGCUGUGAGGUUUUCCAAGUCAGACACUGAGGCGUGUGAAGCUGUGUUUCUUUCCCUAAGGGUUCCCCCUUCCUUCCUUAGGCGGUGCUGCUGCUUCAGGAGCCCUAGCAGUUUGAAGCAUCAGGAGCUGCAGCGCCAACAUUGGUUGCUGGUAAUCUCCUCUACAAUCCAGAAAGCCUGAACCCCAGAGCGCAGGAGCUGCUGAAAAGUUGGACAGCUCCCACCUCUUUAGACCUAGCUAUUUGUCUCUCUCUAAAACCUCUUCAGCCAGUCAGGAAUAAGACAUGUCCUCUUGGUCCUUUCCCAGCUUCACCAUCAUCCCCCGCCCCCUUCCCUUAACCACUUCACGCCCCGGAGACUUCUCUUCACCUCUGUUUUGCUCAAUCUGCCAGAAGAAAUUCGAUUUGGUGAUUACUUGCCGGUUCUUAGCGUCUGCCAAUGUUCUCCAUUCUUGGACUCCAAAUGAAAAGAAGAUUACAAUGGCUAAAUUUCUCAAAAAGCCCUUAGGAAGCAAGGAUUCCUGGACCAGACAACACCCUUGGAGUUUGAAGUUCCAGGAGAGAAGGUACCUACUAAAUGCUGGAAGAAACAGAGUGGGAAGGACCUUAUCAGACAUUACAGAUGACUGAAACUGCAGUUUGGAGGCUGAGAACACCAGGGUUAAAGGAAUUGUGGAGGACCUGAGGAGAACUUUUAAGAAUAAUUUAUAACCUCUAAAAUUGACUUUGCAUUGGGGCAGUCAGAAAUGCUUUGGUGGGAGGGGAGAUUAAUUGUGCUUAGAAAAACUUUAACAAUAUUGGUUUUGUACCUGUUACAUUUCCAGAAAAGUUUAUAGAGACUCCUUGAUUGGAGGAAGUUGAAUUAAUUUUUUUUAAGAUGAAGAAAUUAUUAAUAUUAAUUCUGAUAAGGUUGUUCAGUGUGAAAUUAGGACAGUAUAUUCUAUAUUCUACAUGGGUUUUUAAUUGGUUGUAUUGAAUCAUUUUAAAGUUAUUCCCAUUGUUUAGGGAGAUUCUGAGAACACUGUUUUACGUCUUAGUCCCUUUGAACAUAAUUAAUACCUGAACAUGUUUUGAUAGUUUGGUUAUUGAGCAUCUAAAAGUGUAAUUAUGAAUUUAAAACCCAUCUACUGAGAUAUGAAUAUGUGGUGAACUUUCUAGAAUGAAUUUCUUAACUAUUAUCAAUGUAAUAUUAUAGUCAAUACUUAUUUAGGCUAUGUGAGCUAAAUUUACCUGACACUUUGAUUAAUGAGACUUGCUAUUUGAGAUAAAAUCUCUUGAGACUGUAGCUGAUAUUAUUUGGAGUUUUGAAUUCAGGUACAAUUGUCUAAUGGAUCAUAAAGCCAGUAAUCUAUCAUCUGAAAGGAAUAUGUCACAAGUUACUCAGAGCAAUGUGAUCCUAAAUUGUUACAGAUGGAGAAUAAUAUCUGGGCAAGAGUUGAGAGGACAACUUUGACCUCCUCUUAAGAUGGGAUCCUUCUGACUUAGUUUUUCAAUGAUGUUCUUUGAAUAAGAAUCCACCUGAUUAUUCUUGAGUCUGGUCACAAGGUGUAAUUGUUAUUGCAUAUAAUUAGCUAAGAAUGUUUUACUCUGUCAUGUAUGUACUCUCAGGCAGAGGCCUGAAGGACCAGUUUUGAUGCUAUUCGAAUUAUGUCCUUGCAUUUUCUUCUUAUAGCAAAUUUCUAUAAGCAGGGCAAAUGUUCAGUACAAUUCAAAUUUAAGAUCUUGCAUUUCUUAUCUGAAAAUAUGUGAUCAUUCUAUCCUAAAUAAGUAGGUGAGUAUUUGGCCUAGACAUCUAUCUGUUACUAGAUGCAUGUUUCUUUUAGCAUUUCUAUUGUUGCUGACUUUCCUAAUAGGCAACUCUAUUUUUGAAGAGUUAUCUACUCUACUUACUGGAGCCACAAAUGGUUGGGGUAAUAGAUGACCCCAGAUGGGAGUUAGGGGUACAAAAUUUCAGUUUGUUUGCUGAAUAAGUUCAUGAGAUUCCAGGCCAAUGGUUGAAAUAAUUACUAACCAAUUCACAAAGGCACUGGAUUUUUUUAGUAGACCAAGCCACUCAGACUGAAGAAUCAGUCCUCCAUAGUAGAAUGGUAUUAAACUAUUUGUUGGUUGAAGAAGGUAGAGUUUAUGGGAAAUUAAAUUUUUGCUGUGUGAAAAUUAAUAAUGGACAGGUAGUGAAAGAAAUUUCCAUAGACAUCAGAAAAUUGGUUCAAGUCCCAUUCCAGACCAAGUCUGGAAUCUAGGAAUCCAGAGAAUCUAGGAAAUCUUAACUUUUUAACUUAUGGUAAUAAAACAGUCCAGGAAGGUUAAAUUCCCAUUGAAAUUGUCUCAAAGGUUGUUGUGUCUGUCUUUAAAGAUGCUAACUAGAUUGGAGACAGGAUGGAGGAUUAACAAUGGACUACAGACAUUACUGGUCAGAUGAUAAAGACUGAACAAUCUGGAGAGGGAAGUCCAGUUAGAUAAAGAUGGUUCCUAGUAGAGAAAAAGGACAUACCAGGUCCAGAGGGAUCAAAGACUGAGAACAAGAUGGUUGAGGAAAUAUAUUAAGAAUAGUGUGAAAAAUCUUCAAAGGUUAAUAAAUAAAGAGGAAGGACUGAAUGGGAUAAAAUAAGUGAGGACCCCGCUUGGGAAUAUGGCCUUGAAUUAUGCUUCAAUUGUGACUUGAGACUUUGCUAUAACAAGUGGAGCUAUAGGUAAAAAGCUGCAGGUGUUCAGUUGUCUUGGAUGAACAUUUCCCCUCCUGUUCCUACAGAAGAUGGCACUUAGGCUCAUUAGAUUUUCACUGAGGAAAAGCCUUAGAAAUGAUCUACUACCAUAUCCUUUCCUUUCAUAAAUGAGGAAACUGAAGUUCAGAAAACUGUCCUCAGAUCAUAGCACAUAUAAAAAUGUGUAUAAGUCCUUGAGCACAUGGAUUUUUUACAUUUCUUUGUAUUUGCAUUUCUAGUGUUUAGCACUGUGCUGCACAAAGUAAAACAAUAAAUAAUUGCUUAUGAUUAAUUUACUGAAGUAACAAAUUCAAUAUUAAAAUCCAGCUGAAUCAGGUUUGACUUCAAAACUAUUGCACUUUGCUUUACAACACAUACCUUUUCAAAUGAAUUAAUCAACAAUCUUUAGAUUCAGUUAGUCAAUCAUUCUAACCAAAUUGUGUUAGACACCCAAUUUUCUUAGCUCAUCUUCUUAAGUUACCAUUUUUACUCCCAUGAAUUCUCACUUGAUUAUUCUUCUAGUAGAUAGAUCUAGGUCAUAUCUAAUCUAUUGGAUCUUCCUUACAAACUCAAGGCUGUCCAGCUACCUUAACUGUGCCACAGUCUGGGUGAAGGAUAGGCUGUGGAUAGGGACUGGUACUGUGAAUUCACAGGUACAAGGAAAUCUCUGGGGAAGAAACUCCUAUUGCCAAAACAGAUCAGUGCCUUUUCUCUAACUUUAAUUUUUGGAUAGCUGCCUAGAUGAAGAUUUAUUGUAUCAAGAAAUUAAAGACUUAUUGUAUUAAGAGACUUAUUGUUCAUGCUGCAACUAUGUAUCUAGGACAGAAUUUGAAACCAAAUCUUUCUGGAUUUAAGACCAGCCAAGAUUAUUUUUAUGAUGAAAUAAGCAUUUAAAAUUAAUAAAGGAUGUUGAAUAAAGUUUGGGAAAUGAGUCCCAGAACCUUCUGCCUUGUUCUCAGACCCUUUUACAGGAAGCACUGAAAUAAAACAG
This 4196-nucleotide long non-coding RNA is filed under the name Sarcophilus harrisii (Tasmanian devil). Its description in RNAcentral is "lncRNA (ENSSHAG00000020561.1)". Lineage: Eukaryota; Metazoa; Chordata; Mammalia; Dasyuromorphia; Dasyuridae. The record is from RNAcentral.